AUGGGGUGCAGCAGGCGAGAAAACUUUGCAAUGUGCGAAAGCACGACAAGGUUAAUCCGAGUGUUUUCUGCUAAAGAAAUCUUUUGUUAGUUCUAAAACCACUAUCGAAUAAGGGGUGGGCAAGUUCUGGUGUCAGCCGCCGCGGUAAAACCAGCACCUCAAGUGGUCAGGAUGAUUAUUGGGCCUAAAGCAUCCGUAGCCGGCUAUGUUAGUUCUCGGUUAAAUCCAUGUGCUCAACACAUGGGCUGUCGAGAAUACUGUAUAGCUAGGGAGUGGGAGAGGUAGACGGUACUCGGUAGGAAGGGGUAAAAUCCUUUGAUCUAUUGAUGACCACCAGUGGCGAAGGCGGUCUACCAGAACACGUCCGACGGUGAGGGAUGAAAGCUGGGGGAGCAAACCGGAUUAGAUACCCGGGUAGUCCCAGCUGUAAACUAUGCAAACUCAGUGAUGCACUGGCUUGUGGCCAGUGCAGUGCCGCAGAGAAGUCGUUAAGUUUGCCGCCUGGGAAGUACGUACGCAAGUAUGAAACUUAAAGGAAUUGGCGGGGGAGCAC
This 553-nucleotide ribosomal RNA is filed under the name uncultured crenarchaeote. Its description in RNAcentral is "bacterial SSU rRNA". It matches the Rfam family "Archaeal small subunit ribosomal RNA", at positions 325 to 879 of the family's 1478-position model. The record is from RNAcentral. Lineage: Archaea; Thermoproteati; Thermoproteota.